UAUAAAUUAGUACAGUAAUAAAUAAGUAUUUCAAAUUUUUUCGACCCUGUUGAAAAUAUUAUUUUCAAACAAACAGUUCAAUUGACUAGCUUAUUUUACUCUCACCUCAAGAAUUUUUCGUUAUACGAAAAGCUGUAUUAUGUUAAAUUUAUUAAUUAUGAAUAGAUCACAGCUCAUACUGUACUUUUGUAUACAAUAACGCAAUUUUCUAUACGUCGGUAUAACAACGUGCAGAUAAUUUUUUAUU
Molecule: long non-coding RNA, 247 nt
Organism: Cotesia glomerata
Lineage: Eukaryota; Metazoa; Arthropoda; Insecta; Hymenoptera; Braconidae
Exons: 3
Source: RefSeq, a predicted model, not a curated record